This 18-nucleotide unclassified non-coding RNA is filed under the name Mus musculus (house mouse). RNAcentral describes it as "oocyte_clustered_small_RNA2216". The record is from RNAcentral. Lineage: Eukaryota; Metazoa; Chordata; Mammalia; Rodentia; Muridae.
CUUUGCGGGCAGGGUUGA